AGCGAACGCUGGCGGCAGGCCUAACACAUGCAAGUCGAACGGACCCUUCGGGGUUAGUGGCGGACGGGUGAGUAACACGUGGGAACGUGCCUUUAGGUUCGGAAUAGCUCCUGGAAACGGGUGGUAAUGCCGAAUGUGCCCUUCGGGGGAAAGAUUUAUCGCCUUUAGAGCGGCCCGCGUCUGAUUAGCUAGUUGGUGAGGUAACGGCUCACCAAGGCGACGAUCAGUAGCUGGUCUGAGAGGAUGACCAGCCAGACUGGGACUGAGACACGGCCCAGACUCCUACGGGAGGCAGCAGUGGGGAAUCUUGCGCAAUGGGCGAAAGCCUGACGCAGCCAUGCCGCGUGAAUGAUGAAGGUCUUAGGAUUGUAAAAUUCUUUCACCGGGGACGAUAAUGACGGUACCCGGAGAAGAAGCCCCGGCUAACUUCGUG
This 433-nucleotide ribosomal RNA is filed under the name uncultured bacterium. RNAcentral's name for it is "partial 16S ribosomal RNA". It matches the Rfam family "Bacterial small subunit ribosomal RNA", at positions 29 to 507 of the family's 1533-position model. The record is from RNAcentral.